AUUGAACGCUGGCGGCAUGCCUUACACAUGCAAGUCGAACGGCAGCACGGGAGCAAUCCUGGUGGCGAGUGGCGAACGGGUGAGUAAUAUAUCGGAACGUGCCCAGUCGUGGGGGAUAACGUAGCGAAAGCUACGCUAAUACCGCAUACGAUCUAUGGAUGAAAGCGGGGGAUCGCAAGACCUCGCGCGAUUGGAGCGGCCGAUAUCAGAUUAGGUAGUUGGUGGGGUAAAAGCCUACCAAGCCUUCGAUCUGUAGCUGGUCUGAGAGGACGACCAGCCACACUGGAACUGAGACACGGUCCAGACUCCUACGGGAGGCAGCAGUGGGGAAUUUUGGACAAUGGGCGCAAGCCUGAUCCAGCAAUGCCGCGUGCAGGAUGAAGGCCUCGGGUUGUAAACUGCUUUUGUACGGAACGAAACGGCUCUUUCUAAUAAAGGAGCUAAUGACGGUACCGUAAGAA
Molecule: ribosomal RNA, 461 nt
Filed under: uncultured bacterium
Lineage: Bacteria
Description: bacterial SSU rRNA
Rfam family: Bacterial small subunit ribosomal RNA
Source: RNAcentral